This 796-nucleotide ribosomal RNA is filed under the name Entamoeba bovis. RNAcentral's name for it is "partial small subunit ribosomal RNA". It matches the Rfam family "Eukaryotic small subunit ribosomal RNA", at positions 918 to 1555 of the family's 1831-position model. The record is from RNAcentral. Lineage: Eukaryota; Evosea; Mastigamoebida; Endamoebidae.
UCCAUGAUCGCCAUAAGAUGCACGAGAGCGAAAGCAUUUCACUCAAUUGCGUUCAUUAAUCAAGAACGAAAGUUAGGGGAUCGAAGACGAUUAGAUACCGUCGUAGUCCUAACUAUAAACGAUGUCAACCAAGGAUUGGAUUAGUUUUAGAGUGACAGAAGUCCGGUAACGCUGUUACUGGGUUGACGGAUCUCGCUUCCACCUUAUUCAGAACUUAAAGAGAAAUCUCGAGUUUAUGGACUUCAGGGGGAGUAUGGUCACAAGGCUGAAACUUAAAGGAAUUGACGGAAGGGCACACCAGGAGUGGAGCCUGCGGCUUAAUUUGACUCAACACGGGAAAACUUACCAAGACCGAACAGUAUUAGGAAUGACAGAUUAAGGGUUCUUUCAUGAUUUAUUGGGUAGUGGUGCAUGGCCGUUCUUAGUUGGUGGAGUGAUUUGUCAGGUUAAUUCCGGUAACGAACGAGACUGAAGCCUAUUAAUUAGUUUCUCGCCUAUAAGACGAGAAUGUCCGCAAGGAUGGAUGCUUUUGCAUCACUUCUUAAAGGGACUAAUAUCAAUUGUUUCUCGGUUGAUCAGUGCGACCAUCUCGAUGGUACCUUUUCAAUCGGAAAAAAAGAUAAUGGAAGCAUUCAGCAAUAACAGGUCUGUGAUGCCCUUAGACAUCUUGGGCUGCACGCGCGCUACAAUGGAGAUACUAGCGAGUAUUUGUCGGGGAUGCUCGGUUUAUCGGCUCUGUCGGUGAAUCGAGAUUUUCUCCGGUGUACCGAGACUGAAAUAGUUUAGGAAAACUCAA